AUCCAGUCGAAGACUCUCAAAUAGGACGAAACGCGCGUACUGGAU
This 45-nucleotide non-coding RNA is filed under the name Schistosoma margrebowiei. Lineage: Eukaryota; Metazoa; Platyhelminthes; Trematoda; Strigeidida; Schistosomatidae. The record is from RNAcentral.